AGACUACCCCCUGGACUUAAGCAUAUCACUAAGCGGAGGAAAAGAAACUAACUAGGAUUCCCCCAGUAACUGCGAGUGAAGAGGGAAGAGCUCAUCAUUGGAAUCUGGCAGUGUUGCACUGUCCGAGUUGUAGAUGAGGAGUAGUCCAUCUGGACUGCAUGGCGUCCAAGUACAAUAGGCCGUCAGUGGGACAUCAUAGAGGGUGACAAUCCCGUCCUUGAUGCCAAUGUGCAAGUCCGUUACGAUGGCUAUCUCAGAGAGUCGAGCAGUUUGGGAUUUGCUGCUUAAACAUGGGAGGUAGAUUCCUUCUAAAGCUAAAUACAGGCGAGAGACCGAUAGAGAACAAGUACCGCAAGGGAAAGAUGAAAUAGCACUCUGUGAAGGGAGUCAAAAGGCGUGAAAUUGUUGCGAGAGAAGCGAUUCAAGUCAGCGUAGCUAGGCCCAUCAAGCGUCUCGCUUUGGACUAGCUUUGCCAGCGGUCUUGUCCUUUAGAGAGAGAGAGACUUGACUUGUUAACGAUGUCCAGCCUGGUAUGCACAGGUAGCCCCCCGGGGUCAGUGGCAUGGCUGGUGGAAUGGCUUGCAAUCGACCCGUCUUGAAACACGGACCAAGGAGUCUAACAUGUAUGCGAGUAUAAGGGUGGCAAACCCGUAUGCGCAAUGAAAGUGAUUUUCGGUGAUUGAGAAUGGCCUGAUGACCAGACAAGCAAUACAUGUCCCUCGGACGGCCAUUGCCCAAGUUCCGUGGUAGAUCCCAUGAACAUGGAGUUGGAGCAUACAUGCUAGGACCCGAAAGAUGGUGAACUAUGCCUGGACAAAGCGAAGCCAAAGGAAACUCUGGUGGAGGCUUGUAGCGAUUCUGACGUGCAAAUCGAUCGUCUGAUCUGGGUAUAGGGGCGAAAGACUAAUCGAACCAUCUCAUAGCUGGUUCCUGCCGAAGUUUCCCUCAGGA
This 951-nucleotide ribosomal RNA is filed under the name Cantharellus amethysteus. RNAcentral's name for it is "eukaryotic LSU rRNA". It matches the Rfam family "Eukaryotic large subunit ribosomal RNA", at positions 18 to 978 of the family's 3401-position model. The record is from RNAcentral. RNAcentral also lists the same sequence under 1 other name. Lineage: Eukaryota; Fungi; Basidiomycota; Agaricomycetes; Cantharellales; Hydnaceae.